AAAAUCCGUCGACUUUAAAAAUCGUGAGGGUUCAAGUCCCUCUAUCCCCNN
RNAcentral lists this transfer RNA (51 nucleotides) under Zehneria boholensis. Its description in RNAcentral is "partial tRNA-Leu". Lineage: Eukaryota; Viridiplantae; Streptophyta; Magnoliopsida; Cucurbitales; Cucurbitaceae. RNAcentral also lists the same sequence under 2 other names. The record is from RNAcentral.